Molecule: unclassified non-coding RNA, 655 nt
Filed under: Arthroderma gertleri
Lineage: Eukaryota; Fungi; Ascomycota; Eurotiomycetes; Onygenales; Arthrodermataceae
Description: sequence contains 18S rRNA gene, ITS1, 5.8S rRNA gene, ITS2, 28S rRNA gene
Rfam family: 5.8S ribosomal RNA (bases 280-433)
Source: RNAcentral
GUAACAAGGUUUCCGUAGGUGAACCUGCGGAAGGAUCAUUAAAGCGCCGCCGACGUCGACCCCAACCGCCUGGCUUGAGAUAUAGUCUAGGCGGUCCUGGAGGUCGCCGGCAGUUGCCCAUUCUUGUCUACUGACCCAGUUGCCUCGGUGUGCCGUUCCCUAGCGGACGGUCGGAAGCCCUAGGACCAGGUUGUCCCAGUGGCCCUGACCAGCGCACGCCGACGGACAGUCUAAAAUCUUUAUAUAUUGGCCCUCUGAGCGUAUAAGCAAAUCAAUUAAAACUUUCAACAACGGAUCUCUUGGUUCCGGCAUCGAUGAAGAACGCAGCGAAAUGCGAUAAGUAAUGUGAAUUGCAGAAUUCCGUGAAUCAUCGAAUCUUUGAACGCACAUUGCGCCCCCUGGUAUUCCGGGGGGCAUGCCUGUUCGAGCGUCAUUUCAACCCUCAAGCUCGGCUUGUGUGAUGGGCGAACGUCUGACCCUUGGGGGCGGGACGCGUCCGAAAAGCAGUGGCUAGGCCGCGACUCUGGCGCCUGAGCGAAUGGGAUUUCCAGCGCUUAUAGGACCAGCCGGCACUUGGCCUUUAACCAAUGCCCUAAUAGGCUAUCUAGGUUGACCUCGGAUCAGGUAGGGAUACCCGCUGAACUUAAGCAUAUCA